UACGUAGGGUGCAAGCGUUAAUCGGAAUUACUGGGCGUAAAGCGCGUGUAGGCGGCUUGGCAAGUCGGGUGUGAAAUCCCUCAGCUUAACUGAGGAAGUGCGCCCGAAACUGCUUUGCUUGAGUGCCGGAGAGGAUGGCGGAAUUCCCCAAGUAGAGGUGAAAUUCGUAGAUAUGGGGAGGAACACCGGUGGCGAAGGCGGCCAUCUGGACGGUAACUGACGCUGAGACGCGAAAGCGUGGGUAGCAAACAGG
Molecule: ribosomal RNA, 253 nt
Filed under: uncultured bacterium
Lineage: Bacteria
Description: partial 16S ribosomal RNA
Rfam family: Bacterial small subunit ribosomal RNA
Source: RNAcentral